RNAcentral lists this ribosomal RNA (495 nucleotides) under uncultured bacterium. RNAcentral's name for it is "partial 16S ribosomal RNA". It matches the Rfam family "Bacterial small subunit ribosomal RNA", at positions 28 to 507 of the family's 1533-position model. The record is from RNAcentral.
GACGAACGCUGGCGGCGUGCCUAAUACAUGCAAGUAGAACGCUGAAGAAGGAGCUUGCUUCUCUGGAUGAGUUGCGAACGGGUGAGUAACGCGUAGGUAACCUGCCUGGUAGCGGGGGAUAACUAUUGGAAACGAUAGCUAAUACCGCAUAAUAGCAGUUAUUGCAUGAUAACUGUUUGAAAGGUGCAAAUGCACCACUACCAGAUGGACCUGCGUUGUAUUAGCUAGUUGGUGGGGUAACGGCUCACCAAGGCGACGAUACAUAGCCGACCUGAGAGGGUGAUCGGCCACACUGGGACUGAGACACGGCCCAGACUCCUACGGGAGGCAGCAGUAGGGAAUCUUCGGCAAUGGACGGAAGUCUGACCGAGCAACGCCGCGUGAGUGAAGAAGGUUUUCGGAUCGUAAAGCUCUGUUGUAAGAGAAGAACGAGUGUGAGAGUGGAAAGUUCACACUGUGACGGUAUCUUACCAGAAAGGGACGGCUAACUACGUG